GUCCAGGGAUGGGAAUCAAACCCACAGUGUUCCGUUUACCGGGCAGAUGUCAUGUCCACUAGGCUACCCUGGA
RNAcentral lists this transfer RNA (73 nucleotides) under Cordylochernes scorpioides. RNAcentral's name for it is "tRNA-Thr". The record is from RNAcentral. Lineage: Eukaryota; Metazoa; Arthropoda; Arachnida; Pseudoscorpiones; Chernetidae.